Non-coding RNA from Salmo salar (Atlantic salmon), 54 nucleotides. The record is from Rfam. Lineage: Eukaryota; Metazoa; Chordata; Actinopteri; Salmoniformes; Salmonidae.
UAUAUUCACUACUGUAAGUCGCUCUGGAUAAGAGCGUCUGCUAAAUGACAAAAA